This 295-nucleotide ribosomal RNA is filed under the name uncultured bacterium. RNAcentral describes it as "partial 16S ribosomal RNA". It matches the Rfam family "Bacterial small subunit ribosomal RNA", at positions 202 to 487 of the family's 1533-position model. The record is from RNAcentral.
UGGUGCCUUCGGGUAUCGCUAGAGGAUGGGCUCGCGGCCUAUCAGCUUGUUGGUGAGGUAAAGGCUCACCAAGGCGACGACGGGUAGCUGGUCUGAGAGGACGAUCAGCAACACUGGAACUGAGACACGGUCCAGACACCUACGGGUGGCAGCAGUCGAGAAUCAUUCACAAUGGAGGCAACUCUGAUGGUGCAACGCCGCGUGGAGGAUGACGGUCCUAGGAUUGUAAACUCCUGUCAUUGGGGAGUAAGACUUAAGCGUUAAGAGCGUUUAAGUUUGAUAGUACCCAAAGAGG